UUUAAAUGACAGAGCAUUUUUAGAGGUCAGCGUCUAAUCAAAAAUUCUGUUUUAAAACUGAGGAUAUUUGACCAUGAUUUGACCAAACAGUCAUUUUGGCAAUUAGUAUAAUCUGAAAUAUGCUUGUGGAAAAUUUUAAGUAGGGUAUUUCAGUAGGAAGGUUGUUCAAAUUGUCUUUGGAACAGUCUUUGAAAUUUAUCUUGAUGCUGGCUACUAUUAUUUACGUUUUUAUCUUUUUCCAGUGAGGCUCAAAGCUAAAUUCAUUAAGGUCAGCACUUUAUCCAUUAUGCUGUGUUCCCUCUUCUGAAUUUAACAAGCUCAUCUAAUUGCUUUCUUUAAAUUGGCAUAUAGUCCCUUCAGUGCAUGCUAAAUUAUUUCUCUUUUUAAAAUUAGGACUUGGAAAAAGCUUGACCCCUCAGUAGAGUCCUCAUACUCCAGUAUACAGAAAUUGGUCAUAAGUCACUUAUAGAGAGUUCAGAGCUUCAUUUUUGAAAAGGAAAGUAUUUCAAUGCUGAAAGAGUUGGUCAGGCUUGAUGAACAGAGUGAUCUUAUACCUAUACAUACUGUCUUCCUGGAGAGUCAGUGGAGAAUAUGAAAGUGCAAUAUUUGCUGUGAAUAGUUUUCGGAAAGUCUCUUGUGUAUUAAGCUCAAAUCUCUGUCAUGUUAGAGUAUUUGAAAUGGAUGUAGAUGAUGGGGAAAUUGAAGAGGAAGAGAAGGAUGAAGAAGAGGAGGAAUCUUCAUCCCAUCACGUGUCUGGUGAGCAGAAAGAAUUAAUUCAGUCUGUCGAUAACCAAGAAAGUGUUGGCAAUGAAUCUGCCAAUCUGGUGGAUGUAGGGGAAGAUCAGGAAUCUAACUUAGAUUCAUAACCUGAGCUACAAUUAUUUUGUUUGUUCUCAUUAUGUUAGUAUGUUAUGUUGGUGAGCUAAGAUUUUUCUUUUAGGAACACCUUAAUAUUUUCUUUGUACCAAAGAAAUAAACAGUUAAUUAUCUUGUGGACAAUGCAUAUUUUCUUUAAAUCUGCUUCAUCUUUCAGAAAUGUAACCACUGGAAGGAUAUUUCCUUUUGCUGAUGUUCCUUGAUAAAUCUGCCUGAAGAACUGUAGUUUUUAAAGCAAACAUUAAUUGAAGAAAGGGAUUCAGUUUUUUUUUAAAUUUUUAUUUAUUUA
This 1165-nucleotide long non-coding RNA is filed under the name Sarcophilus harrisii (Tasmanian devil). RNAcentral describes it as "lncRNA (ENSSHAG00000031328.1)". Lineage: Eukaryota; Metazoa; Chordata; Mammalia; Dasyuromorphia; Dasyuridae. The record is from RNAcentral.